This 1139-nucleotide long non-coding RNA is filed under the name Suricata suricatta (meerkat). RNAcentral describes it as "lncRNA (ENSSSUG00005000303.1)". The record is from RNAcentral. Lineage: Eukaryota; Metazoa; Chordata; Mammalia; Carnivora; Herpestidae.
CAUGCAAAUCCCUGUCACUGCUAGAUAUGUGUCCCUGCCCAGCUCCCAUCUCAAACAGGAGUGGCCCCAAACGCUGUGCUCCGUGUGGCAGAGAGUAGAAGAGACACACAGAUCAGACUGAUGGAUGAAAUGGGCACCAACUAACUGGAUGAUUCCAGGAACUGCUACUAUCAACCUGGAUAGCCCAGCCAGCCACGGCACCUGGAAUUGUUCCCACUGAAAUACAGGCUGGAGUAAAGUGUUGUCAGCUGGAUGGCUGCUGCAGUUCCAGCCCUCAAAUCAGCACCCCAAAGAAAAGCAUCACUUCUGGAAGCUGGGCCAGAAGAUCGAAGAAGAAUGUUUCUUUGAUGCAUCUUAUUGACCAAAAUUGGGCCACAUGCCUGUUCCUGAGCCAUCACCAGGAAAGAAGUGGAAAAGCACAUUGCUCAGGGCCAGAGAGAGUGUCAGCUUUCCUCAAGGUAUCUGGACUGGUUAAGGAGCUCAGGUAUAUAAUUCUUCCUGCAGAAGGAUGUGGGCUGUGUUUGCAUGUGUAUGAGACCAGACUCUGCGGCUGCCCGUUUGUUUUGGUUGUCUUAAUGAUGAUCGUGGAUUGCUUCAGGACCGAUGGGUCUGCAGCCUCUGGACCCGUAAGAGAGAUGGCCCAAAUGAGCAAACGGGUUCAACUUAUGAUGGCACCUUACAGUUUUGAGGUCAAACUAGAUGUGACAUCUGUCACCUCUCUGUCACAAGAGCUUGACAUGUCUCUGCUUUUCCUCAUUGCUCAGGAUGCAUGCUUCCCGAGGCUGGACAUCUCAUCUUCCAUCACGCAUGACCUGGGAACACCGUGCCCUGACACAGGAGUGCUUCCAGCUCCGCUUCGGGAUAGCCCAGCCUCCAUCUACAAGGGACCUGUGCUGUCCAAGCCCAUGAAGUUCUGCUAAUCACAGGUCAUCACACCCUCUGAUCACACUGGCCAGUCUCACUCCCAGGACAUGAGGAUGGAGCAAAGACACAGGCAGACAGUUACAGCUGAAUCACUCAAUAUACAACCGUUUCCAAAAUUCCUAGAGCUAGACUGCACUUCCCAACUGCCAGUGGAUCCCUCUUCUUUUAAGUCUGUGAGCACCCCAGCAUCCUUUCAAUAAACUCUCUUCUCUUGC